AAUAGAUACCCGGGUAGUCCACGCCCUAAACGAUGUCAACUGGUUGUCGGGGAAGCAAUUCCUUGGUAACGAAGCUAACGCGUGAAGUUGACCGCCUGGGGAGUACGGCCGCAAGGUUAAAACUCAAAGGAAUUGACGGGGACCCGCACAAGCGGUGGAUUAUGUGGAUUAAUUCGAUGCAACGCGAAAAACCUUACCUACCCUUGACAUGUACGGAACUUGGCAGAGAUGCCUUGGUGCCCGAAAGGGAGCCGUAACACAGGUGCUGCAUGGCUGUCGUCAGCUCGUGUCGUGAGAUGUUGGGUUAAGUCCCGCAACGAGCGCAACCCUUGUCAUUAGUUGCUACAUUCAGUUUGGGCACUCUAAUGAGACUGCCGGUGACAAACCGGAGGAAGGUGGGGAUGACGUCAAGUCCUCAUGGCCCUUAUGGGUAGGGCUUCACACGUAAAUACAAUGGCCGGUACAGAGGGCUGCCAACCCGCGAGGGGGAGCUAAUCCCAGAAAAGCCGGUCGUAGUCCGGAUUGUUCUCUGCAACUCGAGAGCAUG
This 547-nucleotide ribosomal RNA is filed under the name uncultured bacterium. RNAcentral's name for it is "bacterial SSU rRNA". It matches the Rfam family "Bacterial small subunit ribosomal RNA", at positions 777 to 1322 of the family's 1533-position model. The record is from RNAcentral.